GAUGAACGCUGGCGGCGUGCCUAAUACAUGCAAGUCGAACGCAUUGUGGUUGAAAUGAUAUGAAGAACUUGUUCAGAUUUGAUUUUCAACAUUGCAAUGAGUGGCGAACGGGUGAGUAACACGUGGGAAACCUACCUCUUAGCAGGGGAUAACAUUUGGAAACAAAUGCUAAUACCGUAUAAUAAUUAAAACCGCAUGGCUUUAGUUUAAAAGAUGGUCUUGCUAUCACUAAGAGAUGGUCCCGCGGUGUAUUAGUUAGUUGGUGAGGUAAUGGCUCACCAAGACAAUGAUACAUAGCCGAGUUGAGAGACUGACCGGCCACAAUGGGACUGAGACACGGCCCAUACUCCUACGGGAGGCAGCAGUAGGGAAUCUUCCACAAUGGACGAAAGUCUGAUGGAGCAACGCCGCGUGUGUGAUGAAGGGUUUCGGCUCGUAAAACACUGUUGUAAGAGAAGAAUGACAUUGAGAGUAACUGUUCAAUGUGUGACGGUAUCUUACCAGAAAGGAACGGCUAAAUACGUGCCAGCAGCCGCGGUAAUACGUAUGUUCCAAGCGUUAUCCGGAUUUAUUGGGCGUAAAGCGAGCGCAGACGGUUAUUUAAGUCUGAAGUGAAAGCCCUCGGCUCAACCGAGGAAUUGCUUUGGAAACUGGAUAACUUGAGUGCAGUAGAGGAAAGUGGAACUCCAUGUGUAGCGGUGAAAUGCGUAGAUAUAUGGAAGAACACCAGUGGCGAAGGCGGCUUUCUGGACUGU
RNAcentral lists this ribosomal RNA (755 nucleotides) under uncultured Weissella sp. RNAcentral describes it as "bacterial SSU rRNA". It matches the Rfam family "Bacterial small subunit ribosomal RNA", at positions 28 to 737 of the family's 1533-position model. Lineage: Bacteria; Bacillati; Bacillota; Bacilli; Lactobacillales; Lactobacillaceae. The record is from RNAcentral.